UACGAAGGGGGCUAGCGUUGCUCGGAAUCACUGGGCGUAAAGCGCACGUAGGCGGCUUUCUAAGUCAGGGGUGAAAUCCUGGAGCUCAACUCCAGAACUGCCUUUGAUACUGGGAAGCUCGAGUCCGGAAGAGGUGAGUGGAACUCCGAGUGUAGAGGUGAAAUUCGUAGAUAUUCGCAAGAACACCAGUGGCGAAGGCGGCUGACUGGUCCGGUUCUGACGCUGAGGCGCGAAAGCGUGGGGAGCAAACAGG
Molecule: ribosomal RNA, 253 nt
Filed under: uncultured bacterium
Lineage: Bacteria
Description: partial 16S ribosomal RNA
Rfam family: Bacterial small subunit ribosomal RNA
Source: RNAcentral